This 267-nucleotide unclassified non-coding RNA is filed under the name Rasamsonia sp. RNAcentral's name for it is "partial internal transcribed spacer region". The stretch from base 1 to 46 matches the Rfam family "Eukaryotic small subunit ribosomal RNA", at positions 1786 to 1831 of the family's 1831-position model. The record is from RNAcentral. Lineage: Eukaryota; Fungi; Ascomycota; Eurotiomycetes; Eurotiales; Trichocomaceae.
AAGUCGUAACAAGGUUUCCGUAGGUGAACCUGCGGAAGGAUCAUUAUUGAGUGAAGGGUUCUCUAAGAAUCUGACCUCCCAACCCUUGUGUUCUUUACCACUUGCUUUGGCGGGCCCGUCACUGCUGUGACCGCCGAGGGGUUAUGUUUUUAACUAACCUUUGGGCCCGUGCCCGCCAGAGAUAUCUGAACUCUUGUUAUGAAAUAGGUUGUCUGAGUUAUAAAGAAAAAUAAGUCAAAACUUUCAACAACGGAUCUCUUGGUUCCG